GAUUUUGAAACAACAACAGCCUGUGAUUUUUUUUUUAAAGACAUUUUUUUGUUUCAUUUUGUUUGGUAAGAAACAAAAGCCACACUUUUGAGCUCAAAUUUGUUCUAAAUGAUCCAUUUAUUUAUAGUGCCACUUUGAUUGAAACAUUUAUUUAUUGCUUGUGUUUAUUCUGAAUGUCUGUUCAACAGGAAUUCUGUGCUUGUGUGUGUUCUAAUCUGGGGGCAUGAUGUUCGAGUAGUUCAGUGCUUGGCCUCUAAAAACAGGAUCAUGAGUUCAAAAAUCUCAUAUGAGGGCUGGGAAUGUUUUAAUUCAGGACUUUGGGGAGUCCAUGAGACAGACUAGCUGUAUAGGGUACCCGCCUUUAUUUGAGGAUAGUAAAGGCAUGAUCUGUCUACAUGAUCACCUCCCCAAUGAAGCAUUGCUACAGAAUCAGAUGAGCUUUAAAUCUCUCUGUACUGGUACCAAAGACUUCUAAGUCAUAAAGGCUUGAUUUUAUAUUCUCACUUUAUUAAAACACGUAACUUUGAAUGUGAUAUUUCAGCAUUAUAUAUCUGUAACUAAUGACUCUGUUUCACAAACGAUUGUAACACUUUCAAAACAAAAGCACCAUUAAGUCAAAACUUGCAAAGUAGUGAAUAAACUGAAUGUAAACAGUCCUAGUAGGUCAUUGGUCUUGGUCAGUGGUGGAGGUAUUCUUUGGGUACUGUGGACUACAACCUUUGGCAUUGCUCUACAACUUGUAUUCAUAGCUACACAAUAAAUAUUUAUUCUCGCCUGCAGUAUUUUAAUGACCUAGGUCUUCCUUGGGGUAUCUCAGGCUCUGAGCUUCCUUGGGGU
This is a non-coding RNA of Biomphalaria pfeifferi, 837 nucleotides long. Lineage: Eukaryota; Metazoa; Mollusca; Gastropoda; Planorbidae. The record is from the annotation of a GenBank genome assembly.